AUUUAUCUACUGCUUGUGAAAUCUCUGGAUUUAACUCUGAUGAAAGACCGGAGGCUGAAGGAGAACUUCACUAUCAUAUAUUUUAAAGGUUGACUCACAGUUUGGAGCACGAAUUAAAGAACCACGAACUUCAAGUCUGGAUGAAGUGCUUCAUGCCUGUAAUCCAAGCACUUUGAGAGGCUGAGGUGGGUGGAUGGCUUGAGCCCAGGAGUUUGAGACCAGCCUGGAAAACAUAGGGAAACCCUGUCUCAAUAUAAGAAGAAGAAGAAAAAGAAAAAAAAAAAUCAAAAACGAAAACAACACAAAUUUUAGAGUGAUGUAAAAUUCUCAAACAAUGAGAUAGAUAAAAAGUACGCAGCCAAAAAGUGCAGGAAGAAGUGUUAUGGAGAUGGAGCAGGCCCUUCGUAAAAACACGAUGUUGGUUUUCUGGAUUUUGGAGGCCUCACAAAACCUGGAUCAGACUCGCCCGCUGCCCUGUGUCUGCCCUCCCGACCCCCUCUCCUGCCCAGCAGGGAUGUGGGUGGCAGUGGUGCUGUGUGGAGGGUGGCGGGAGGACCGGGAAGACUGCGACCAGUGAGCCGGGAGGCCUUGGGACAGCCUCUCUCUGAAUCAUCCUGUGCACUACCGGGUGUGACAGAGGCUCCUAGAAUCCUGCCUCAAGUGGCCGCCUUCACAGAGGGAGUCACUGAUAUCCCUGCUCAGCGCAGCCCUGGCAUGUGGUGGUCCCUCUACUCAUGAGAAACCCCCA
This 748-nucleotide long non-coding RNA is filed under the name Pan troglodytes (chimpanzee). RNAcentral describes it as "lincRNA". Lineage: Eukaryota; Metazoa; Chordata; Mammalia; Primates; Hominidae. The record is from RNAcentral.